GCUUAGCCCUAAAUCUAAAUGCUUACCUUACUUAAGCAUUCGCCCGAGAACUACGAGCACAAACGCUUAAAACUCUAAGGACUUGGCGGUGCCCUAAACCCACCUAGAGGAGCCUGUUCUAUAAUCGAUACUCCACGAUACACCCAACCACCUCUUGCCCACACAGCCUAUAUACCGCCGUCGCCAGCCCGCCUAAUGAAAGGACAACAGCGAGCACAAUAGCCCCCCGCUAAUAAGACAGGUCAAGGUAUAGCCUAUGAGAUGGAAGAAAUGGGCUACAUUUUCUAACUUUAGAACAAUUAUCCACCCAACGGAAGAGGAAAUGAAACACCCUCAGAAGGCGGAUUUAGCAGUAAACUAGAAUAAGAAAGUCUAAUUUAAACUGGCUCUAGGGC
RNAcentral lists this ribosomal RNA (395 nucleotides) under Nothura maculosa. RNAcentral's name for it is "partial 12S ribosomal RNA". It matches the Rfam family "Bacterial small subunit ribosomal RNA", at positions 794 to 1380 of the family's 1533-position model. The record is from RNAcentral. Lineage: Eukaryota; Metazoa; Chordata; Aves; Tinamiformes; Tinamidae.